Molecule: long non-coding RNA, 2176 nt
Filed under: Homo sapiens (human)
Lineage: Eukaryota; Metazoa; Chordata; Mammalia; Primates; Hominidae
Description: long non-coding RNA NONHSAT194628.1
Source: RNAcentral
CGCGCGUUGGGCACUGUGACUUGGUGCCUUCUUCGGCUCCAGGCUGACUUACUUGAGGAAGUACCUCUGGCCAGUGGCCGUGAAGGUCAUCUCCCAGCCCGGGGGCAGUGGCAGCUCGUCGGUCACGUCGUAGGACUGCUGGCGGAGGUGCGCGUGCUGCUGCGCGGGGCUACCCGCAGCACCCGCGCCGGUGCCCAGCUGCAGGGACGCGGGCGACGAGUGCGAGCGGACAUGCUGGGCACCCCCAGCCAGUCGAGGCCCCGGGUGGCCGCCCGACGAGUCGGUGCUGGACUGGCGCGAGUGCGAGCCCGAAUCAGGCUCCUUAAAGAAAGACUCCGGCAGGAUCUUCUUCCGCCACGAGCUAGGCUUCGGAUUCAUGACAGAGUUGAAGAGGGCUUCGAGGUCUGUGUCUAGGUCCUGCGUGACGUGGAUCACUUGCUGCCCAGGCGGCGGGAGCGGAGGGGGCGCCGAGGCCGGAUUCAUCUUCUGCAAAAAGAAGGACAGGCAGCCCCCCGAAAGAAGUUCAGCCCGAGCCAACUCCACCACGUCUCGACUCCGGAAGCCCGAGGAGCCUGGAGCCCUGGAGUGGUGCCGGAUGAGCGCGCGAGCUCCAGCGGGCACUACCUGGGCGGGCAGCGAAGCUGAGCCUGAGCGCGCGGCGGCCGCCGUCCCGCCCGAACUUGCCGUCGGGCCUGGGUCGCUCGGGUGAGUCCCGAGAUUGCGGAGCUGGAGCCGAGGCUUGGCUGACAAAUCCCGACCCGACUCUGUGCCUGGCAGUCUAAGGGCUUCGGCUCUCACAUCCCCCGAGCUGGCCUAAGGCGCUAGUGCUGGGCGAAAAGGAGGCGCAGGAGAAGCAGACAGCGCGGCCGCAGCAGCUCCCGGACUGUCCCAUAAACAAAGUUUGGAGCAAACUCCCACCCCCAGGAAAGAGGCGGGCCCGAAAGUUGAGCUGUUGAAUUAUGUAUGACCUCCUAGUCCCUAGCCGGCCAGCCCCCGCUCGCCCCUCCUCUUCCUCCUCCUCCUCCUCCCACCUCGGCUCCAGAAAACCCUGGGCGUGAUGGGUACUUUACUGGGUAAGAGGAGACGGGUGCCCCCCACCCACUCCUCCCGGCCGCGCGGACCUCUCCCGCUCAGACCUGCAUCUGCAUUCCUUUGAGUUUACCACGGACUUGGGGCGGGAUCAAAGGGAAAGUGGCCUGAGCCUGUUUCAUCAAGGGGUUGUGGACCGAAACCAAGGCCGGGGGUGGCGGAGGGCACGCGGAUGAGGGGCUCAGGCCUAGGAAGGGCCGGUCCUGGACACCGCGCCCUCCCCUGCAGCCAGGCGCCGAGGCCUGCAGCACCCGGAGCGCCGCACUGACCCGCGAUUCUGCCCGAAGGCCGGCCCGGGUGCGCCCCGGCGCGGGGAGACACCAACAAGGCCAGCUUUUCCACGAGAGGCUGCUUAGCUCUUGUGACCAUAUUUGGUCUGGCGAGGAGGCAUCUUGGCUGCCUGGCUCUCAAUUGUCUGCUAGAGCACAGACGGUGCCCAGAAAGUGCCUCUGUCACUGGAGAUGCGGCUUCGCCAACGGGUGGGUUGUAAACAAACAACUUUCAAACCAUUCAUCAAUCCUUAAUUUCCUCUACGGGGGUGACUCAGGCCACUAGAGAUUGAGAAGAAAAAGCUGGGUGUUGGAAGAGAAGAGCAAUUGCACCCCCCUCCCCCGCAACAUCCGUGAGGGUUGUGGGAGGAUUGGAAUGUCCCUGCCGCCCUCCGGGGAGCCUGGAGCCGGGAUGGAACCCGAGCAGGUGGCUGGAAGUAGAGAGGGUGCGCCAGUGACCCGAAAAAAGCCACCCACCUUCCCACCAACUAGAUCUGGGCGAGGGAUGGAGACCCCCUGCCUCUAGCUAAGGGAAGAAGGUCAAGUCUGGCGAAACAGCUGCGGGAAGUAGGAGGAGGCCUUGCCCUUCAGAGCAGCUCAAUUUCUUUUCUCUCUGGUUGCCUCUCCACUGAGGGGAAAGGGUGGGGGGAGAUGGCGAGGUAAGCCAAAUUCCAGGAAGCCCCUACUCCACCCCAUUUGAUUCAAAUAGGAGUUUAUUAAGUAAAUCAAACGAGACAAUGUAAAGCACUUCGCACAGCACCGGGCUGGUUACGUAAGUGUUUGUUAAAUAAAAGAGAACUGUAUGUUCUUCAAGUUCA